Molecule: ribosomal RNA, 253 nt
Filed under: uncultured bacterium
Lineage: Bacteria
Description: partial 16S ribosomal RNA
Rfam family: Bacterial small subunit ribosomal RNA
Source: RNAcentral
UACGUAGGUGGCAAGCGUUGUCCGGAAUUAUUGGGCGUAAAGCGCGCGCAGGCGGUCCUUUAAGUCUGAUGUGAAAGCCCACGGCUCAAACGUGGAGGGUCAUUGGAAACUGGGGGACUUGAGUACAGAAGAGAAGAGUGGAAUUCCACGUGUAGCGGUGAAAUGCGUAGAGAUGUGGAGGAACACCAGUGGCGAAGGCGACUCUUUGGUCUGUAACUGACGCUGAGGCGCGAAAGCGUGGGGAGCAAACAGG